UACGGAAGGCAGCAGUGGGGAAUAUUGCACAAUGGGCGCAAGCCUGAUGCAGCCAUGCCGCGUGUAUAAAAAGGCCUUCGGGUUGUAAAGUACUUUCAGUCGUGAGGAAGGUGUUAAGGUUAAUAACCUUAGCAAUUGACGUUAGCGACAGAAGAAGCACCGGCUAACUCCGUGCCAGCAGCCGCGGUAAUACGGAGGGUGCGAGCGUUAAUCGGAAUUACUGGGCGUAAAGGGCACGCAGGCGGUUAAUUAAGUUGGAUGUGAAAUCCCCGGGCUUAACCUGGGAAUGGCAUUCAAGACUGGUUAGCUAGAGUCUUGUAGAGGGGGUUAGAAUUCCAUGUGUAGCGGUGAAAUGCGUAGAGAUGUGGAGGAAUACCGGUGGCGAAGGCGGCCCCUGGACAAAGACUGACGCUCAUGUGCGAAAGCGUGGGGAGCAAACAGGGAUUAGAUACCCG
Molecule: ribosomal RNA, 455 nt
Filed under: uncultured bacterium
Lineage: Bacteria
Description: bacterial SSU rRNA
Rfam family: Bacterial small subunit ribosomal RNA
Source: RNAcentral